Molecule: long non-coding RNA, 345 nt
Organism: Magallana angulata
Lineage: Eukaryota; Metazoa; Mollusca; Bivalvia; Ostreida; Ostreidae
Exons: 3
Source: RefSeq, a predicted model, not a curated record
UUCUGGUUGAGAAAUCAGGACACAUAUUUUCAGCUGAAUGUACAUGUGUUGCAGGGGAUGGAUCAUGUAAGCAUGUUGUUGCCCUACUGUUUGGCAUAAUAGAUCACAUCACUUCAAUGGAAGAUCGAAGUUCAAUUGGAGUUACUGAUACUGCAGCAUAUUGGGAUAAACCACGGAAAGUAUGCAGGCCAGUGCCUGUUCAUGACUUAGAUAUCAGGACUGUCGUGAAUGUACCAGAUAAACCACGACCAUCUGAAGAUUCUGGUUAUUUGCCACUUAAGUCUUCAGAUUUUGAUACGGAGUCAUUGGAAAAGAAUAUUGUUCAAGUCCUAAAGAAGAGCAAAA